This 275-nucleotide ribosomal RNA is filed under the name uncultured prokaryote. RNAcentral's name for it is "partial 16S ribosomal RNA". It matches the Rfam family "Bacterial small subunit ribosomal RNA", at positions 524 to 800 of the family's 1533-position model. The record is from RNAcentral.
UACGUAGGGGCUAGCGUUAUCCGGAAUUACUGGGCGUAAAGGGUGCGUAGGCGGUCUUUCAAGCCAGAAGUGAAAGGCUACGGCUCAACCGUAGUAAGCUUUUGGAACUGUAAGACUUGAGUGCAGGAGAGGAAAGUGGAAUUCCCAGUGUAGCGGUGAAAUGCGUAGAUAUUAGGAGGAACACCAGUGGCGAAGGCGGCUUGCUGGACGACAACUGGCGCUGAGGCGCGAAAGCGUGGGGAGCAAACAGGAUUAGAUACCCUGGUAGUCCCUGA